UGGUGUUUCCAUUAUCAUUUUGAGAGGCGAGGAGGCUUUAAAUGAAAAACAAAGGCUUCACCAACUAUGAUUUGUUAUAGCUAUGAGAUCUGAGGGCAGAUCAUGUUACCAUAGUAUNNNGAUACUUUAAAUGCAAAUGCUAAUGAAGGUUGUGCCGCGGAAAGAUCAAUUUAUAUAUUGCCCCUUCAUUAGCAGUUUUUCUUUAUUCUUUAAUUUUCUGGCAAGUAUGAUAACCAUUGGGUUGGUUUCAUGGGUUAGCUGUUUUUUUCUUUAAUUUGUUGUUGUCAAUGGCGUGGAGGUUUACAAUUAGAAAUAAUACCAUUGAAGUGUAUUAUGCCUAAUGAUGGAAAAAUCAACUGAAUUGAGUGGUUGCAUGGUUUUUUGUCACUGGUCUCGCUACCACCUUUGCGUG
Molecule: unclassified non-coding RNA, 412 nt
Filed under: Hevea brasiliensis (rubber tree)
Lineage: Eukaryota; Viridiplantae; Streptophyta; Magnoliopsida; Malpighiales; Euphorbiaceae
Source: RNAcentral